RNAcentral lists this ribosomal RNA (119 nucleotides) under Belgica antarctica. The record is from RNAcentral. Lineage: Eukaryota; Metazoa; Arthropoda; Insecta; Diptera; Chironomidae.
UUCAACGACUAUACCACGUUGAAAACACUGGAUUUCAUCCGAUCACCGAAAUUAAGCAACGUCAGGCAUAGUUAGUACUUAGAUGUGAGACCGCUUGAAAACGCUAUGUGCCUUUGGCA